CAGUAAGUAGUUUAUUUAAAACAUUAAUUUUGGGGAUUAAUAAAAAGUGUUUAUACUUCUUAUUGA
This 66-nucleotide transfer RNA is filed under the name Hackeriella veitchi. Its description in RNAcentral is "tRNA-Pro". Lineage: Eukaryota; Metazoa; Arthropoda; Insecta; Hemiptera; Peloridiidae. The record is from RNAcentral.